Molecule: long non-coding RNA, 535 nt
Filed under: Monodelphis domestica (gray short-tailed opossum)
Lineage: Eukaryota; Metazoa; Chordata; Mammalia; Didelphimorphia; Didelphidae
Description: lncRNA (ENSMODG00000037736.1)
Source: RNAcentral
AGUUGUCUGUCAGUUGUUUCUGAUUUGUCAUUUUCUAGCUCAUGUCUGUCACAGGCCAUCCUUCUCAACACAUAAUCCUCAAGUAGGGGUGUAGACAUUCCUGUUUUGUUAGACUAAGCAGGGUGGAGUAAAUCUAAAAUUCACAGAAUGAGUCAUCAUAUAAAUAAUACAUGUUGUCAUUUGCCUCCAUGGCCAUUGUUUAAUCAACAAAAAGCACAAACCUCCACCUCUUAACCAAAGACCAACAAUAAUAAGAAGCUGUCUUUAAUCGGAUGAUAUCCCAUCUUUUAGCCUAUGACAGUUCAUACACCCAACAGGAAUAAACAAUUUAUAGGAUGGUCAAAAUGGAGAUUUGUCAAGGAAAAUGGGCAUAAAACAUGCUGCAAUCAAGUGAUACUCUCAGUUAACUAUGAAUCUACUAAUAAUACUCUACUCUUCAAAUGAAAAAGAAAUAAUAAAACACAUCAGGAACAGCGGACCUCAGACCCAGCAUUUCUCUCCUUGUCUUGGAAUGUUAUUUCCAUAUAGAAAGCUA